RNAcentral lists this ribosomal RNA (403 nucleotides) under Fusobacteriota bacterium. RNAcentral describes it as "Fusobacteria bacterium partial 16S ribosomal RNA". It matches the Rfam family "Bacterial small subunit ribosomal RNA", at positions 355 to 776 of the family's 1533-position model. Lineage: Bacteria; Fusobacteriati; Fusobacteriota. The record is from RNAcentral.
UGGGGAAUAUUGCACAAUGGAGGGAACUCUGAUGCAGCGACGCCGCGUGAGUGAUGAAGGAAUUCGUUUCGUAAAACUCUGUUCUAUGGGAAGAAAAGGACUGUACCAUAGGAGAAAGCUCCGGCUAAAUACGUGCCAGCAGCCGCGGUAAUACGUAGGGGGCUAGCGUUGUCCGGAAUCACUGGGCGUAAAGGGUUCGCAGGCGGAAAUGCAAGUCAGGUGUAAAAGGCAGUAGCUUAACUACUGUAAGCAUUUGAAACUGCAUAUCUUGAGAAGAGUAGAGGUAAGUGGAAUUUUUAGUGUAGCGGUGAAAUGCGUAGAUAUUAAAAAGAAUACCGGUGGCGAAGGCGACUUACUGGGCUCAUUCUGACGCUGAGGAACGAAAGCGUGGGUAGAAAACAGG